GCAGGAGGCUGUGGAUGUCCCGGAGCAGCUGAAGGUCCCACUGGGGCUAAAAAAGGAGCCUCUUCCCUCCUGCACACCCAAACCUGGAUGCUGAGACCUCAUGCAGCAUUCUUCAGAGAUGGGAGUGGGUUUGGAAGGAAUUGCCCCUGGAGCAAGCUGAUGUCCCAGAACUCUUCUGACCUGGAGCAGCUGUGGGAAGCCCUGCCAGAAGUGUCCAUCUGGAAACUCACUGAAGGAGGAGCAAGACCAUUGCAUCUUAUCCAAUGCAGCUGGGAAGACCCUGGCUGUAGAGGCUCAAGCUGUACCAUGUGCCACCAGGAUGUGAGCAGAGAUGGAGUAGCUGUGCCAACCCUUUGCAAGGGUGUCCUGCAGUGUUCAGGCCAAGAGGAGAAGGCUUCUUCUUGGGGGAAUGAGCAGAAGAAGGGGGAAAAAUCUCUUCUGGGAGGCUGCUGCUUGCUGCCAGCUGAGCUGAAAGGAGCCAGUAACGUGCUUUAUUCUGCUCAACAACCACCAUCCACC
Molecule: long non-coding RNA, 519 nt
Organism: Pogoniulus pusillus (Red-fronted tinkerbird)
Lineage: Eukaryota; Metazoa; Chordata; Aves; Piciformes; Lybiidae
Exons: 4
Source: RefSeq, a predicted model, not a curated record